UCCCGUGUUCUUUGUGUACAUACAGAACAUCUAUGAAUACACCCUCCAAAAUACACAUGCAUGUAUCGACGGGAUAAUAUCAUAAAGCCUAAAAGUGAAGGAAGAGAUUAUUUCCAAGUCUGUUUAGUUUAGCUUUAUUCUUUCGUGAUUUUCUAAAAGACAAAGGAUGUUACUACACAAAAAAUUCUAGCAGGAGACUUCCCCCAAAAGGAUGUUCACGCAACGGGUUGAUGGAAGAAAUGUGAAAAUACUUAGGAUUUGCUAUCUGUGUGGUUUAAAGGUAUACUGUACAUGUGCUAGCUCUGGUCUCCAAAGUCUAAACUAGCCUUAAGAGGUUAACAUAGGGCCAAAACAGAGUGAGAAGUGCUUUGAAUGAGUAAUGUGGUUACUCUCUUUCAGGAGAAAAGAGUUCAAGCCCUGUGACGCUAAAGGACUUUAGAUGGAUGAAAAUGAACUUUGCAUUAACGUGCAAAGAUGUUAGUCUCUGAACUCCCAUGUUUUUGUAAUCAUAACCAAAGUGAUAGUAUGUAAAUACUUUUUGUAUAUGUUACUAUAGGUUAAUGGUA
This is a long non-coding RNA of Nicotiana attenuata, 566 nucleotides long. RefSeq lists it as uncharacterized. Lineage: Eukaryota; Viridiplantae; Streptophyta; Magnoliopsida; Solanales; Solanaceae. The record is from RefSeq and is a predicted model, not a curated record. The transcript is spliced from 4 exons.